UUACCAACCCGAUGCAAACUGCGAAUACCGGAGAAUGUUAUCACGGGAGACACACGGCGGGUGCUAACGUCCGUCGUGAAGAGGGAAACAACCCAGACCGCCAGCUAAGGUCCCAAAGUCAUGGUUAAGUGGGAAACGAUGUGGGAAGGCCCAGACAGCCAGGAUGUUGGCUUAGAAGCAGCCAUCAUUUAAAGAAAGCGUAAUAGCUCACUGGUCGAGUCGGCCUGCGCGGAAGAUGUAACGGGGCUAAACCAUGCACCGAAGCUGCGGCAGCGACACUCAGGUGUUGUUGGGUAGGGGAGCGUUCUGUAAGCCUGCGAAGGUGGCCUGUGAGGGUUGCUGGAGGUAUCAGAAGUGCGAAUGCUGACAUAAGUAACGAUAAAGCGGGUGAAAAGCCCGCUCGCCGGAAGACCAAGGGUUCCUGUCCAACGUUAAUCGGGGCAGGGUGAGUCGACCCCUAAGGCGAGGCCGAAAGGCGUAGUCGAUGGGAAACGGGUUAAUAUUCCCGUACUUGGUGUUACUGCGAAGGGGGGACGGAGAAGGCUAUGUUGGCCGGGCGACGGUUGUCCCGGUUUAAGCGUGUAGGUGUGUGUUCCAGGUAAAUCCGGUU
RNAcentral lists this ribosomal RNA (610 nucleotides) under Salmonella enterica subsp. enterica serovar Agona. Its description in RNAcentral is "partial 23S ribosomal RNA". It matches the Rfam family "Bacterial large subunit ribosomal RNA", at positions 936 to 1547 of the family's 2925-position model. The record is from RNAcentral. Lineage: Bacteria; Pseudomonadati; Pseudomonadota; Gammaproteobacteria; Enterobacterales; Enterobacteriaceae.